Herpailurus yagouaroundi (jaguarundi) is the source of this 5537-nucleotide long non-coding RNA. RefSeq lists it as uncharacterized. Lineage: Eukaryota; Metazoa; Chordata; Mammalia; Carnivora; Felidae. The record is from RefSeq and is a predicted model, not a curated record. The transcript is spliced from 3 exons.
UGCGCGGGACGUCGUUCUCCCGGUAGUACUCCAUCGCCUGCUGCUUCAGCUUCUGCAGCUCCCUAGUGGUCCCACAGCUGCGGCCGCCGCCUUCUUCCCCCAUGAUGGAGAAUGUUGGCGUGUACAGAUUCUGUGGGUGUGCAGCAAAGAGCAAAGUCAAGUGUGAUUCAAGGUGGGAAAUACCAGCUUCAGUUGCCAACACCCAAGCAGCGCGAAUUGUGGACCUGAGCGCAGUUCACGGGCCGCACCACAAGAGGGCAGUGUUUGCAGGACAUUUUGCGCCUGGCCGCCUCCCGCGGCUCGCCAGGGACUAGAAUUUUGCAGGAUGUCCUCUCCGCGCGGCCAGAGCAGAGCCGAGAUGCAUGUCCUGUGGCUUCCAGUUUGAGCCGUGACACAUGUUCUUCCGUCAACGGGGGUGCGUGCGUGCGGGUGGCACUAGGGAGGCAUCUGUCUGCGGCCCCGCCCUCUCCAAGCCGCCCCCACAGCCUUCCUAGCGGACCUGGCCUCGGGUCGGGUCACGGAACCCACCCACCCAGUCUGGGCCCAGCCGGCUUCUGCCCCCAGGGCUGACCUGAGCCAGAGGGAUAUCCCCGCACCCCCCUCAACAGCCGCCCCCUGCGAUGCUGAUUUGGAGCUCCGGCAGCGCCCCACCCGCCCAGCCACAUUCUGACCAGGUCCCUCGGGCCUUAAUUCCCCAUACGAGGGAGGUAGCUGCCUGGUCUUCUCUUCCCUCCUCCUCUCUUUCACCUUCUUAAAAAAAAAAUUUUUUUUUUUUUUUUGGAAAAGCAAUGCAUAUUCAUGACAAAAAUUCAAAUAACCCAAAAGGAGGAGCUGAUGAAAAGCAGGUCUCCCCUCCCUUCCGAGCUUCCCAGUUUUCUCCCCUCAGGCCAUAAAGGCUAAGAGGUUUUAGCCACAGCCUCCUCCCAGAGGUUCCGGGUGCCUAUGCAGAUACAGAUGAGCAAGCAGGUGUUCAAAACCGCCUUGGCUCCUGGUUCGCUUUUACUAGGCUCGGGAAACCCUUCCGCGUCGGUUCAGGAGCAGCUGCCCUGGUACUUUCUUCACUGGCUUCGGGGCAUUCUAUUGUGUGGAUGCACCAUGCUUGCUUUAACCAUCCCUCCUGGGGGGACGCGUGGGCCCUUUCCAGUCUCUUGCUCUCGGGAGCGGAGGGCAGGGACUAUGUCGCAGGCCCAGCUUUAAACACAGGUGUAAAAUCCACAUGCACUGACUUCUCAGAAGUGGAGUGGCCGGGCGGAGGGUGCAGAUGGGCUGAGCUUUCAUAGUCGUUGCCGUAUCGCCCUUCAAAGACGUUUUGAACCCCUCUACGUGGAUCUAAUCCCAGCGUGAGUGCCCUUUGUCAGUUACUGGUUCUGGUUACUGUUACUAGUACUGGUUCUGGUUACUGGUUCUCAGUCUUGACCGAGGUCAGAAUUACCUGGGGAAGCUUUCUAAAAAUGCCAGUUCCUAGGCCGUAUCCCAUAUCUCAGCCUGAUUAAAUCAGAAUGUGACAGUUUUGUGUGUGUGUGUGUGUGUGUGUGUGUGUGUGUGUGUGUUGGGGGCUGCUGGUUAAGAGGAAGGGAACUGGCGUUGGCACUUACAACCUUUCCCCCCCAAGAUUCUACUGGGCAGGCAGGGGUGAAAGACGCUAUGAUACAUGGAAAACACCUCGUGGAUUUAAGCGUAUAUUCCGUUAAUUAUGAAAGGAAGACGAACAUUUUUCUUUGAGAACAGUGAUUUAGACUUUUCUUGAAUCGCAGACCCUUUGGAGGUUCCGAACAAAAUCAAUGGAUCUUCUAUCCAGAAAAAAAAGUGCAUGCGUGUUGGUCUCAAUUUAAGUGAUCCUAGACCCUUUGGAGCUCCUCCUCAGGCCUCCUGGGACCCUCAGCCUCAGGUUACGGACAGGCCCAGAAAAUUGUUCCUCCCAGACUCUUUCACUGCGCUCCAGGCCUUGUGUGCUCUCCCUGAAGCCCCACCCGAACCUAACCCCUGUGCCCCUCCUGCUGAGAUCUGCCAGGAGCCUCUGCUCCAAAACCGUGUCUGUGUACCCGCAGAACAGCCCAGGUCCUCCUGGUGGGGCUUCCCUGAUGCCCGCCUCUGAGAGGAGCUGCAGGGAGCUCACAGGGACCCACAGCAUGAGGCGCCUGUGCUCAGAGAGCUCACAGUUGGCAGAGGAUUCUGCUGUGUGGCAGGGGCUGUGGGGAUGGGGCCGACGUGGUGCUGUGGAGCACAGUCGACUCAGGUGGGAGCACAGACUGAGGAGAAGGGUGGCCGGGGCCUCCCUGGGGGCAGGUCCUGGGCCGGAGCUGGCAGGAACAGGAUGGGAAGGUGCCACGGGUGUGAGGGAGCUCGUCACCUGCCGAGGAGCUAGGCGCCAGGAAGGUGUGGACACACAGGGAGUUGCCAGUCGUUUGGGGGUGGGAUGUAGGGGAGAAGCGAGUCAGGGGAGAUAGGAAAGGGCGCGUGGCAGGGCAGACGGAUUUCAGGGCAGGGAUGUGCCGUUAGCCCAUUCGCUCUGUGGGAGUCCAGGCGGGCGGAUGGCAAGGAAAGGGCUGAUUCUGGGGUGUUAGGGCAGCAGGGCUCAGCAGGGGAGUGGGGGGCGGGUGGGUCACAGGUACCUGGCUUAGGCUGGAGGGUGGUGAGGACCACGGCCAGGGAGGGACGACAGUGCUCAGUGGGCAGGUGUGUGUGUGUGCGCGCAGGGGCGAGGAGAGGGCGGGAGAGCAGGAUGUGGGUGGACAGCAGAGCGCCAUGCAUCCCCAGGCUGGGGGGUGAGCAGUGUUGGGGGUGGGCGCCUGCUGACAGGUGCACUGAGGGGCAGUCUUGGAGAGAGGCUCAGGGAGGCGGGCAGCGCUCAGGCGGAGGGGCAGUAGUCCUGGAGCAGAGGGCAGAGUGAGGCAGGGCUACUUCUUUGGCCACCAGGACUGCCCCAGUUCCCACAACUGCUCCGUGUGCCCGUGUCCGCCUCCUCUGCAGGCAGAUCUGGGCCGGGGCCGCCCUGGUUCCUCCCACGCAGGACACCCUGACAGGGCGUCAGUCACUGCCCUUGUUCCAGGAGUCAUUCACACGCCUUCCCCAGGAUUUGAACAUUGCAUUGGUCAGGGGGGGGGGGGGGGGGAAGGAGUCGGCUAGCUCACCCAGGGAAAUGCAGCCCCAGAGCCAGCUCAGAGACCACACCGUGAGGGUUUUCAGUUCAGUUCCUCUGGAACUCUUCUAGUCGCCAGUGCUCCUGAGUAUGAGUUACAGAAAGUCGUCCCCAGUCCACACAAGCAAAGGAGGCCUUGUACUUAGGGCCCAGGGGCUCCAUGACGCCCACAGGGUCACUGCAGCAGAGCCCAGGGCCGGCAGGACUGGGGGCUCCCGGGGCUCCCCUCUCUGGCCUCCCCUCACCCUUUGCAGGCUUGUGCUCAGCAUCGUGGGGCCCUACUGACUGGCCCACGUUAGUGUGAUGGCUUCGGUCCCACCCAGAGACAGUCUACCUGUAUUGAUGUCUGCUUAUCUCAUCUCAACUCAGAGAUCUCUGGGAAGGAGCUCCUGGGCCCAGCCCCGUCAGGGACUCACUCCUCAGCCAAUCAGCUGGGACAUUAGGCACCAGGCCUCACUUUCAGGACAUGGUAACGCCCAGGGCAACUAUGCUGGGCAGACAGUCCCCCAGGUGUCAAACCUGACUUCCCAAACAUAACCGUUAGAUGUUCAUUCAUUCACUCACUCACUCACUCAUUCAUCUUACGAACCUUUCUUGAGCAGCUACGGGGUCUAGGCCCCUCUGUAAGUUCUGUGCGCACGGAAGUGAACAACACAGACAAAGUUAUUGCUGCAAUGAAGCCCAUACUCUAGUAGAAAGAAGAAGGCCAUAAAUCAACAACUCAACAAGAAAGAUAUCAGGGUAUGAUGUUCUGCAGAACAAGGACGUUGGGUGAUGUACCAUAGAAACCGGAGACUCUCCACUGCCUCUGGAUGACAAGGGAUCAACUGGGUAAAGACCCGGUGACAAGCACCAGAGGCAGUGGGAACAGGGGACAGGGACCCGAAUGAGUCUGGGGAAAAGUCAGGAGUGUUUAAGACCAGCAGGAAGGUCGCCGGGGACCUGGUAUGGAGCCACUGGAAGGUUAUGUCCUUUCAACCAAAGUUUUUGAAUAUAGAAUGCGUACAAGUAUUACUUAAAACUUAAAACACAUAAAAGGGUAGACACUGAAGGCACUGAGUCCUACCCCUUGCACUGCUCAGGGCAGCCCCUAUUAGCUACCGUAAUAAGCGCUCCCAACUCUCAGUGACGUGGCAUUCGACAGGCUUUCCUCAUGACGUAGCCAGGGGCUCCCCGGCUGGCACCCUGCCUCCCCAGGGCCCCAUUCUCAGCAGUGAUCAGAGAUCCGUAUCCUUCCACUAUACGGCUCCACCAUUCCCAGAGGGCAUUUCCAGCCUUAUGGGAGGGCUGGGAACAGCGGGGCCUGGCUUAACGGAGACGGGCAUCACUCGUAGUCCCGUGGCUCCCGAGUUACCCCAAGGGAAGCUGGGAAGUGGGCCUUCCCUGUGGGCCCGGGGAGAGGAAAUGGAUUGGUGAGCACGUGGCCAGUCUCCGCCCCAUUCAGCCACCUGGUUCCCCAAGAGGCCACCACUGUAGCCAAGUCCUUCUGUGUCCUCCCAGGGAGAUCUUGUGGACGCAUGAGCAAAGACACAUCUACAUGUACUGUCACUUUAAAGCCCACAAAUGCUGGUAUGCCAAGCACAUCACACCUUGCUUUAUUUUCACUUGAGGUUAUAUUGUGGACGCUGGAGGUUUCAAUCUGGGGGACGAUGUGCUCCAGUUUCUAUUGUGCGAAGUGCACCCUGGCCAGUGGGAGAACACGGAUUGGGGAGGGGGGAGUGGGAGCUGGAAGCUGGUCAGGAGGCUGUCCCAGGAGGCACGGCUGACCGUGCAACAUCACUGAGGCCCACGGUGCUUCUGGUGCAGGCCUCAGGGACACUACCCCUUCCUGCCACCGUGCAGCCACCAGCCUGAACGCUACAUGAUUUCGUCCCUUGUUUGUUUGAUUAACAGUUGAUGGGAUGUGCGUGAGCCUUACUGGAAUAUGUUGUCUUGCUUGUUUCUUCUUGGCUUGAUUUUGCUUUCCUGUAGUUUGUUCCUUUGCGUUGCUAUGUGAUCUUCCAUUGGGUGACUAUACCACAAUUCAUUUAUCAUCGUCCAGGGAAAGGGCAUCUUGGUUUUCUUUCUGAAUUUGAGCUGUCAUGAACAGUGCUGCUAUCAACCUUCCCAUAUCUCCAGCUUUUUAGAGACCGCUCGCUCCAAAGUGGUUGAACCAGUUACUACCCUCUUUGCGAGUCGUGCACAAAGGCGCCUAGCGCUCACCAUUAUCGUCACCAACCCUUGGGAUCGUCACAUUUCUAAAUUGUUUGCCAAUCGGCAGUUACAUCUUUUCAUGGCCUCGGCGUGCCUUUUCCUGGUCCCAGCACAGAGCCCGAGCAUCUCUAUAAACGCCUGUUUGCCCUUUGUGUGGCCUCCUCUGUGAAGUGCCUGGUCACUGUUUUUCUCCGUUAAAAAAAAA